CACGUAGGGUGCGAGCGUUGUCCGGAAUUAUUGGGCGUAAAGAGCUCGUAGGCGGUGUGUCGCGUCGGCCGUGAAAACCUGCAGCUUAACUGUGGGCUUGCGGUCGAUACGGGCAUCAUUGGAGUUCGGCAGGGGAGACUGGAAUUCCUGGUGUAGCGGUGAAAUGCGCAGAUAUCAGGAGGAACACCGGUGGCGAAGGCGGGUCUCUGGGCCGAUACUGACGCUGAGGAGCGAAAGCGUGGGGAGCGAACAGG
This 254-nucleotide ribosomal RNA is filed under the name uncultured bacterium. Its description in RNAcentral is "partial 16S ribosomal RNA". It matches the Rfam family "Bacterial small subunit ribosomal RNA", at positions 524 to 776 of the family's 1533-position model. The record is from RNAcentral.